ACUCCAUAGAGAAAGAUACGACCGAACAUGAUAUCGAAAACAAGGUAUCGUGGGAGAUGGAUUUUAGGCGGCAGAUCACUAAUGUGGUGGCGCGAGAGGACAUCCAGCAUGCUGAGAGACAUGAAACACAGGCUUGGUGGCGAGAUCAGCUGCGUCGUUCAGGAUUUCAUCCUGUUCGCCAGUGGUUCAAUCAUACAAGGGGUUUUCUUUUCAGUGACUUGACUCAAUACACUAUAGAAGGAAAGAAUGGAUGUCCCUUACUACGUCGAUACACUGUCCCUCUAGUUAUCACAUCGGCAUGGAAACCCGAACUUGCUCAGUCUGAUGGAGGAUCGGACAACAAGGAGAACGUGGGCAGUCCAGAAUCCAUGUUGUUAGGUCUCGAGUUCAAUGAUCUUAGCAUAAUACAAAAUGAAUGCGAGGAAGAAGGUGAUCCUACUAUCAUGAGAGAAGGAAAUGUGUGGUCUUGAGAGUGCCCCUCAAUCAAUGAGAUUGCUGCUUCAGCUGAGAUAUUU
Molecule: long non-coding RNA, 515 nt
Organism: Populus nigra (black poplar)
Lineage: Eukaryota; Viridiplantae; Streptophyta; Magnoliopsida; Malpighiales; Salicaceae
Exons: 3
Source: RefSeq, a predicted model, not a curated record